RNAcentral lists this unclassified non-coding RNA (390 nucleotides) under fungal sp. RNAcentral describes it as "partial internal transcribed spacer region". The stretch from base 1 to 46 matches the Rfam family "Eukaryotic small subunit ribosomal RNA", at positions 1786 to 1831 of the family's 1831-position model. Lineage: Eukaryota; Fungi. The record is from RNAcentral.
AAGUCGUAACAAGGUUUCCGUAGGUGAACCUGCGGAAGGAUCAUUAACACUUUUGAAAAGCAUCCAAUAUCAACAAAUCACAACCAAACGGUCAACUAUCUCCUCCCUAUUUCGCACACCGGAGACGGUACGAGUAGGCUAACAUGAAAAAUAACAAGCUCAAGCAUUUGUAAAUUUGCAAGUGCAAUGGCAUGUUAUUUUCAAACACAAGAUAACCCCUUUUAAUUAUAUUAUUCAUUUAAUAUAAACGAACAACUCUUCGAAUUUGUCCUUGCUUUUAAAUCAAGAACAAAAACGAACUAAACUAAAAUAUACAUUCGAUAUAUUUUUAUUUUACGAAAUAAUAUAUAUUUAUAAGAACAACUCUUAGCAAUGGAUAUCUUGGUUCUC